AACGAACGCUGGCGGCAGGCCUAACACAUGCAAGUCGAGCAAACCCUUCGGGGUUAGCGGCGGACGGGUUAGUAACGCGUGGGAAUAUACCCUUUGGUACGGAAUAGCCUCGGGAAACUGAGAGUAAUACCGUAUGUGCCCUUCGGGGGAAAGAUUUAUCGCCAAAGGAUUAGCCCGCGUUGGAUUAGAUAGUUGGUGGGGUAAUGGCCUACCAAGUCUACGAUCCAUAGCUGGUUUGAGAGGAUGAUCAGCAACACUGGGACUGAGACACGGCCCAGACUCCUACGGGAGGCAGCAGUGGGGAAUCUUAGACAAUGGGCGCAAGCCUGAUGCAGCCAUGCCGCGUGUGUGAAGAAGGCUCUAGGGUUGUAAAGCACUUUCAGUAGGGAGGAAAAGUCGAUAGUUAAUACCUAUCGGCCGUGACGUUACCUACAGAAGAAGCACCGGCUAACUCCGUG
Molecule: ribosomal RNA, 458 nt
Filed under: uncultured bacterium
Lineage: Bacteria
Description: bacterial SSU rRNA
Rfam family: Bacterial small subunit ribosomal RNA
Source: RNAcentral